UACAGAGGGGGCAAGCGUUGUUCGGAAUUACUGGGCGUAAAGGGCGCGUAGGCGGCCUGUUAAGUCGAACGUGAAAUCCCCGGGCUCAACCCGGGAACUGCGUCCGAUACUGGCAGGCUUGAAUUCGGGAGAGGGAUGCGGAAUUCCAGGUGUAGCGGUGAAAUGCGCAGAUAUCUGGAGGAACACCGGUGGCGAAGGCGGCAUCCUGGACCGGCAUUGACGCUGAGGCGCGAAAGCUAGGGGAGCAAACGGG
RNAcentral lists this ribosomal RNA (253 nucleotides) under uncultured bacterium. Its description in RNAcentral is "partial 16S ribosomal RNA". It matches the Rfam family "Bacterial small subunit ribosomal RNA", at positions 524 to 776 of the family's 1533-position model. The record is from RNAcentral.